UAAGGAAAGACAAUGAAAAAGGGUUGCAGUCUGACUAACCUCCACAUAACCCCGGGGAAUGAUGUCUGGAGUUUCAUGGACUGACUCAACCAUCAGUUAUGUGUGCAACUUUCUGCUUUCCUCUAGCAACUGGACAAGAGAAGUAGAAAUUCGCCUGCCCAUUGACGUUGCAGCUAUAAACACAGAAGAGUAGUGUAUAAAAGCAGCAACAAGAGUGAGAGCAUCUUAAUAAUGCCUCGCAGAAGUUUAUGGGGCUGCCCUCUUUGAGACACAUGGUCAGUUGCCUUAGUUUUCUCGACAUUCCAUGCUUAUCUAUCAACUUCCCAGAAGUAUAAUAUUUUAAGUAGAAAUAGUUCAGUCCUGGUGAGCUAUUCUGGGAGAAAGAGGACAAGCUGCUUGUUCUCAGUGCAAUGCACCCUCUUGCUUCUCUGUCGUGGCCCCAUGGUCGUCUAGGUGUGGGAACGAGGGAAAUAAGAAAGGGUUACAUUUUGCUUACUGAACACCAGCAAGAUAAACACUUCCAAGGCCUCGCUUCUGUUAUUUGUUGCUGUCAGCAGCCUUCUGAGAUGGCACACCAUGAUACCUGCUCCCUCAUCUUCACGCCUUGCUUAAUCACAUCCUGUUGAGAGUGGGCUGGAAAGAGCAAGUGGCUUCUGAGGAAUGGAGCACUGCCAAGUGUUGGGAUGACGCUACUGAGACUAAGCCACAAAGACUCUAACUUUAUGGUCUUCUUUCUCUUUCUGGGCCUCCUCACCUGUUUUCAUGAAGGAAGUUGUGAGCUGCCCCAUGGAGAGGCCUAUAUGACAGAGAACUGGUCAACAGCCAACAAAGAAUGGAGGGCCUCCGUGCAGCAGCCCAUGAGGAUCUGAAUCCCACCAAUCACCUUGCAAGGGAGCUUGGAAAAGGAUCCACCUAGGCUUGACACGACUGAUGUCCCGGCUGACUACAGGCUCAUAAGAGGGCUCAGCUAAGCAAUGCCAAAAUUCCUCACCCACAGAAACUGUGAGCCUUGUGAAGAAGGUGCCUUGCUUCCCUUUCACCUUCCAC
This 1047-nucleotide long non-coding RNA is filed under the name Homo sapiens (human). RNAcentral's name for it is "HSALNT0406935". Lineage: Eukaryota; Metazoa; Chordata; Mammalia; Primates; Hominidae. The record is from RNAcentral.